UAAAAGGCCCUUUUUAGGGCCACACAAAUUAUUCAAAAAGAGUUAA
This 46-nucleotide non-coding RNA is filed under the name Mytilus galloprovincialis (Mediterranean mussel). It matches the Rfam family "Histone 3' UTR stem-loop". From Rfam's summary of the family: The mRNAs of metazoan histone genes lack a poly-A tail. Lineage: Eukaryota; Metazoa; Mollusca; Bivalvia; Mytilida; Mytilidae. The record is from RNAcentral.